RNAcentral lists this ribosomal RNA (1494 nucleotides) under Triticum aestivum (bread wheat). Its description in RNAcentral is "partial small subunit ribosomal RNA". The record is from RNAcentral. Lineage: Eukaryota; Viridiplantae; Streptophyta; Magnoliopsida; Poales; Poaceae.
AUGAAGGUAAACUACGCUACCAGCAACAACAUGAGUUUGCGUUCUCAUCUCAAGCGCCUCAACUUGUUGUACAAUCGCACUGCUCACAACCUCGUCCUUCCAAUUGUUACCACAACCACACUCGGAGCUAGCGCCCUAAAAAAAGUUGCACCAUGGCUUACCGCUGCGCUCGGCAUUGUGCCCCAACCUAGUGUUAUUUGUCCUAUCCAUAUACUCUUUGUCGUUGUUCUACUGAUCAUCAUGGCUACCGUCUACCUUUCACUCCAUCGUAGAGCUGUAUACCUUGUUGACUAUGCUUGCUUUCGGCCAAGCUCCAACUUAAGAUUAACAAAGGCAACAUUCCUCGAGCAUGCGCGUCUCUCGCCUUUGUUCGAUGAUUCUACAGUCAACUUCAUUGCUACCAUUCUUGAGCGCUCGGGCAUGAGCGAUCAUACAUGUGCCCCACCUGUGCAUCAUUAUAUACAUCCGUAUUGUGGACUUGAUGAAGCACGCGCCGAAGUAGAGUUGGUCGUCUUCUCUGUCAUUGAUGACCUUAUGGCUAAGACACACAUCAACUGCGGUGCGAUUGGUGCUCUUAUCACGAACUGCAGUGCAUUUAGCCCGGUACCAUCCAUGGCUGACAUGAUUGUGAACAGAUACAAGUUGCGAGGUGAUCUUCGUGUCAUCAACCUCUCUGGGAUGGCGUGCUCUGCAGCGGUGACCUCAGUGGGGCUCGCAAGCAACAUGUUGCAGGUCAUGCCUUGGGGGUCGCAUGUGUUGGUGGUGUCGACGGAGACCAUUGGGCCAUCUUACUAUGGAGGAAAUAAGCGCUCCAUGCAGUUGGUUAACAUCUUGUUCCGCAUAGGCGGUGCUGCAAAGUUGUUGUCGACUUCCAGGUCCAUGGCUCGGUUUCGCCUUGGGCAUUUCACGCGGACGAUCACUGCGGCAAACAACGCUGCUUACCAGUGUGUUUAUCAAGAGGAAGAUGACAAGGGCAACCUAGGGAUUGCUCUCUCGAAAGAUCUUAUGGAUGUCGCUAAGGAUGCACUCGAGGCCAAUAUAAUGACAACCGGGCCUCUUGUCCUACCGGCAUCAGAGCUUCUCAAGAUUUUGUUCUUCUAUGUGGCGAAAAAGGUGCUCCGUUGGAGGACGAUCAGGCCAUACAUCCCCAACUUUUCUGUUGCAUUUGAGCAUUUCUGCAUCCAUGUCGGUGGACCAGCAGUUAUCACCUCAGUACAACAUGGUCUUAAUCUAUCAGACAGGCAUGUUGAGCCAUCAAAGAUGACUCUGCAUCGUUUUGGAAACCAGUCGACCUCAUCGGUGUGGUAUGAGUUAUCAUACAUCGAGGCCAAAGGCUGGAUGAAAAAGGGAAACAGGGUGUGGAUGAUCGGAUUCGGUGCAGGGUACGAGUGCAACACUGUUGGGUGGGUGUGUAUACAACCAUCUUCAGGCAUGGAUGGACCCUGGGUUAGCUGCAUCCAUCGUUACCCGGUGGACGUCUCCAAGAAUGGUUAA